RNA transcript from Myotis davidii, 1865 nucleotides. It is a transcript of the gene named core histone macro-H2A.1, with no coding region annotated. The record is from RefSeq and is a predicted model, not a curated record. The transcript has 9 exons. Lineage: Eukaryota; Metazoa; Chordata; Mammalia; Chiroptera; Vespertilionidae.
UCCCGAUGAUCCUGAUGGUGUGCCUCUUGCCUCCCCAGUGUGUUUACUGAUCCAGCUCCAGGGCCAUCGCCAUGUCAAGCAGGGGCGGGAAGAAGAAGUCCACCAAAACCUCCAGGUCUGCCAAGGCAGGAGUCAUCUUCCCUGUGGGGCGGAUGCUGCGGUACAUCAAGAAAGGCCACCCCAAGUACAGGAUUGGAGUGGGGGCGCCCGUGUACAUGGCUGCUGUCCUGGAGUACCUGACAGCGGAGAUUUUGGAGCUGGCUGGCAACGCGGCCAGGGACAACAAGAAGGGACGGGUCACACCCCGGCACAUCCUGCUGGCCGUGGCCAAUGAUGAGGAGCUAAAUCAGCUACUAAAAGGAGUCACCAUAGCCAGUGGCGGGGUGUUACCAAACAUCCACCCAGAGUUGCUAGCAAAGAAACGAGGAUCCAAAGGGAAGUUGGAAGCCAUCAUCACGCCACCCCCAGCCAAAAAGGCCAAGUCUCCAUCCCAGAAGAAGCCAGUGUCAAAGAAAGCUGGAGGCAAGAAAGGGGCCCGGAAAUCCAAGAAGAAGCAGGGAGAAGUCAGCAAGGCAGCCAGUGCCGACAGCACGACCGAAGGCACGCCCGCUGAUGGCUUCACAGUUCUCUCCACCAAGAGCCUCUUCCUCGGCCAGAAGCUGAACCUUAUUCACAGUGAAAUCAGUAAUUUAGCCGGCUUUGAGGUGGAGGCCAUAAUCAAUCCUACCAAUGCUGACAUUGACCUUAAAGAUGACCUAGUUGCAAGUUGUACAGGCUGACAUUGCCUCGAUCGACAGUGAUGCUGUCGUUCACCCGACAAACAAUGACUUCUACACCGGUGGUGAAGAAACACGCUGGAGAAGAAAGGAGGCAAGGAGUUUGUGGAAGCUGUCCUGGAGCUCCGGAAAAAGAAUGGGCCCUUGGAAGUGGCUGGAGCUGCUGUCAGUGCAGGACAUGGCCUGCCCGCCAAGUUUGUGAUCCACUGUAACAGCCCAGUCUGGGGUGCAGACAAAUGUGAGGAGCUGCUGGAGAAGACAGUGAAAAACUGCUUGGCUCUGGCAGAUGAUAAGAAGCUGAAGUCCAUCGCGUUUCCAUCCAUCGGCAGUGGCAGGAACGGUUUUCCAAAGCAGACAGCAGCUCAGCUGAUUCUGAAGGCCAUCUCCAAUUACUUCGUGUCAACAAUGUCCUCUUCCAUCAAAACAGUGUAUUUCGUGCUUUUUGACAGCGAGAGUAUAGGCAUCUACGUGCAGGAAAUGGCCAAGCUGGAUGCCAACUAGGCUGAGGAACUACGAACCGCACCGUGCCCCCUGCCUCCAAUUUGAAAGAAAGAAAAAAAAAACAAAAAAAAAACCCUUCACUCCUACUGGGAGGCGGGAACCCUUUCGUUUUCAAUUUUGCUCAUCUAGGGAAAAUAAGGUUUUGGUUUCCAGUUUAAUUGUUUCGACCUAAAAUGUUUUCACGUUAGCACUGAUAGUUGGCAUUACUGUUGUUAAGCACUGUGUUCCAGACUGUGUCUGACUUGAGUGUGACCUAGGAGAUUUUAUUGUUUUAUUUUAAUGAAGCCCUGCUUGCCACAGAGCAGCCGGGAGAGCAGCGUCCACCACGGGUGGCAGAACCCAGGAAGCCCGCUUUGUAACCGUGUGUCGUGGUGCUUUGUUGUACACCCAGUGGCGUUCUUUUUGCUAUAAUGUUCCUUUUUUCCUCAAGAAGAAAAAUCAUGACUAUACCGCAGACUUAAUUUUUGUUUACUUUUUUGUCUUAAUGAUGGAUUUGAAAAUGGAAGAUUUAAAAGGCAGAACAGAAUCUGUUGCCCUUAAUUAUAUUUGGAAUUUGUGUGAAUUGAUUUAGUAAAAUGUUAAACUGUU